Molecule: unclassified non-coding RNA, 241 nt
Filed under: fungal sp.
Lineage: Eukaryota; Fungi
Description: partial internal transcribed spacer region
Rfam family: Eukaryotic small subunit ribosomal RNA (bases 1-45)
Source: RNAcentral
AGUCGUAACAAGGUAUCCGUAGGUGAACCUGCGGAUGGAUCAUUACCAAAGGAUUAAUGAUAUGUUUUGUGAACAGUUUUGUAUUUUGGGAAGUCAGUGGGGAGGUUUGGGGUUGUGGUCCGCCGCCGCUUCAAAAAUCAUCGCUGGCUGACUACAUAAAAAAAUGUCUUCUUAAUUCCAAACUGAAGUCUACUUAGUUUCUGAACUAAAACAACUUUUAGCAACGGAUCUCUUGGCUCUC